This 337-nucleotide ribosomal RNA is filed under the name Ericthonius convexus. RNAcentral's name for it is "partial large subunit ribosomal RNA". Lineage: Eukaryota; Metazoa; Arthropoda; Malacostraca; Amphipoda; Ischyroceridae. The record is from RNAcentral.
ACGAUUAAUCUAAUAAAAUCUUUGUUUGUUAUAAAUAAUAAUUUGAAGUUAAAGUAAAAAUUCUUUAAUUUUUUAAAAAGACGAUAAGACCCUAAAAGCUUUAUUUUUAUUUUUAUGUGUUUAUGUUUAUAUAUGAUUUACGCGAAAGGGUAAUUUUUAACUGGGGUAGUUUUAUCAUUUAAAUUGUUUAAAAUAAUACUUAAGGUUUCAGGAACCUUAAUAUUAAGGUGUUGUUUAAGUUACUUUAGGGAUAACAGCGUUAUAAUUCCGGAGAGAACAUAUCUAUGGAGUUGAUUGCGACCUCGAUGUUGAAUUAAUAAAAUCUUAUUAAAGCAGU